RNAcentral lists this ribosomal RNA (777 nucleotides) under uncultured Neocallimastigales. Its description in RNAcentral is "partial large subunit ribosomal RNA". It matches the Rfam family "Eukaryotic large subunit ribosomal RNA", at positions 24 to 633 of the family's 3401-position model. Lineage: Eukaryota; Fungi; Neocallimastigomycota; Neocallimastigomycetes; Neocallimastigales. The record is from RNAcentral.
AUACGACUACAUAUCAGGCAUAUCAAUAAGCGGAGGAAAAGAAACUAACAAGGAUUCCCUUAGUAACGGCGAGUGAAGCGGGAAGAGCUCAAAUUUGAUAUCUUCAAGGUUUUACCUUGACGAAUUGUAGUUUAAAGAAGUGUUUUCUGUUGAAGUUUCGGUAAAAGUUCUUUGGAAUAGGACAUCAUAGAGGGUGAGAAUCCCGUAUUUGACCGUUAUUUUCAGCUGUGUGAUACACUUUCAAAGAGUCGGAUUGUUUGGGAAUGCAGUCCAAAAUGGGUGGUAAAUUUCAUCUAAAGCUAAAUAUUGGCGAGAGACCGAUAGCGAACAAGUACCGUGAGGGAAAGAUGAAAAGAACUUUGAAAAGAGAGUUAAACAGUACGUGAAAUUGUCAAAAGGGAAGCGUUUGACACCAGUAUUGUUUUCUCGAAAAUCAAUUAAAAAUAGCUUGAUUUUGUGUUGUAUUGACCUUAAAAGCUUUCUUCACUUUAUUCAUGUCUUUUUAAUGCACUUUUCGUUUAACAAGUCAACAUCAGUUUCUUUUGUUGUAAAAAGGUCAUUGGAAGGUGGCUUUCUUUUCGGAGAAAGCGUUUAUAGCCUUUGACUCCUGCAAUCGGAGAGACUGAGGUCUGCAGCGUAGAUCCUUCUUGGAUUAGAUUCAUUUGUGCUAAGUUAUAGCUUUUUAUAGACAACAUUGUUGACUAUAUUUAGUCAUUGUAACUUACUCGCUUAUGCAAUUUUACCUACGCUUAGGAUGUUGAAUCUGUGCGAGACUAC